RNAcentral lists this long non-coding RNA (1245 nucleotides) under Olea europaea subsp. europaea. The record is from RNAcentral. Lineage: Eukaryota; Viridiplantae; Streptophyta; Magnoliopsida; Lamiales; Oleaceae.
CUCGCAUAUAUACAAUUAACCAAGCAUCAUAUUAAUUACAAGGACACAAAAUAAAUUUGUACAACAUCACCAAUAAUUAAAGUUUGAAAAGAAAAUGAAAAUAAAUUUUGAAAGCCUUGAAUAUCUCCAAUGGCUCAUUGAUCAAUCUCAUUUGAUUCUUGUUCUUUUCAAUGCAAACAAAUAAUAAAUGAAAGUGAUUAUGGAUGUAUUCUGUAACAAAUUCGAAGCUUUGAAAAGAAUUAAUAUCGAUUGAGGUUCCCCCCGUGGCUUUUCUCCUUUUCAAGAAUAAUGAGAUUUGUAACCCUAAGAGCCUUCUUGUCUUGAAUAAUACUUGUAGAUUGAAUCCCCAAUUCUUCUUCGAUUGUAGGAUGAAAAUAAGCAUUUAUUUGCCUCAAGAUCAGGCCAAAAAUCGUAACUUAGUUGCUUUCCAAAUAAAAUUAGAGAAAAACAAGGAAAUCAAAUUUAUUUUGCAAUCCAAAUAAUCUUCAAUUUGCUCCGAAUAAAUCCCAAUUAAGCUUUAAAAUACAAUUUUCAAGUCAAUUGCAUCCAAGUUGGAAUUUUACCUAUAACUAACAUGUUUACACAAAUUAAAAUAGAUAUCCUCUCAAUAUAACAAUAAAUAAUUAAUAAUAGAAAUUCACAUAAGUGUGUAAUAUGAAUUUAUCAUACACAUAAUAAUCAAACAUUCAACCUUUUAUUAAUGUAUAAAUAGACUAAUUCUUGUAAUCGAGACAAGAUCUCUUGACUGCAGGGGUAGGGAUCUUGGGUAGAGAGGGACAGCCUUAAGAUUUGAAGAUUAUGAAUGAAUACAUUAUCAAGGAAAAUUCCUUAACUCAAGCCAAAGACAAGGAAGAUGAUUCUUAGGUUCAAAUCAAGGAUAAUCUUAAAAUGUAUCAAGCACCAGUAAAACAAAGCAAGCUGCACAAAUCAAGCAUUUAGAAUGAGCGUGGAAAAUUCUCAUUGACUUGAGCAUUUAGAAAUUAAACUUAACUUACAAUUUUAUUAUGGCAUUAGACUUGCAAACUUUAACGACAAUUGAUCUACUUUCCAGAAAUAGCUUUCUCCCACAACAUCAACACCCCUGACUUCUUCCCUAACCCAGCCACCCUUUCCAACUGAUAAGCCCUUGAUUGUUCUCAACAUUUCUACUCAGAUUAAUGGGAAGCUAACACCCUCAAUCUUUCCACAAUGGCGUGCCCAAUUUGAAGCCUUCUUCAUCGACUAUGACAAAGAGGGAGGAAAUAC